Molecule: ribosomal RNA, 549 nt
Filed under: Triticum aestivum (bread wheat)
Lineage: Eukaryota; Viridiplantae; Streptophyta; Magnoliopsida; Poales; Poaceae
Description: partial small subunit ribosomal RNA
Source: RNAcentral
AUGUGCGACACCGUCGUGAUCACGGUCGCCGCCGACAACUCUCUCAUCGGCAAGAGCCGCGCCAACCCAUGGCCUGGCAUCCGCAAGGUGCUGCAACCAGCCACGCCACCGGCAGAUGGGAAUGAGAGCGUCAUGUUCACGUACAGAUUCAUGGAGGAGCCCACAGUGUCCACCGACGUGCAGGGAACCGAAGCUGAGCCGUGCGCCGGCGGCAGCGCAUGCACCAGCACCGACACGGUAGACAGUGCAGUCAACGCGCUAUGGACAGACGAGGGAUGGACCGCCGACGACUGCCUGCGCACCACCGAUCGAGAAGUCCUGCUGUACUAUGGCGACGGCUUGGGCCGUGCCGCCGAUGUGUGCCAAGAAGCGCAGCUUAUGGCCGGUAACUCUGUUAUCUACCUCAACGAUGAAGGCCCGGUCGAGCGGCUCCUUCAAUGGGUUGCAGGUAUAUGCGGGGGCAGCGGCCAUGCCUGCGCCGAAGCGCAAAUCAUGGCCAAUAACCCUUAUAUCUACCAGAAUGGCCUGGUCCAUUGGCUCCUCCGGUAG